GGAAGGAUCAUUGAAUUAUUGAAUCAACAUGGUAACUUAUUGUAUCGCCGGCAAGGGGCCGUUGGGGAUAAACUCCCAAUUGUGUCUGAGGGAUGGCUUCGGUACGGAAAUGUCCGAUGGAGAAGGACUGCCAGAUUCAUCCCCCAAUGCGGCUGACAGGCCAGAAUGGGUUACGCCCUACUGAGAGACUGUUGCCCCUUGUUGAGAAGCACCCUCAAUCAACCCAAAAAACACAUCAAUCAACCCACUCAAAACCCAACCCCUAAAGUUUAGACGCUGGCUUUGGCUGGCGUCGACAGACACAAAGACAACUCUCAACAACGGAUAUCUUGGCUCUCGCAACGAUGAAGAACGCAGCGAAAUGCGAUACGUAGUGUGAAUUGCAGAAUUCCGUGAAUCAUCGAAUCUUUGAACGCAUAUUGCACCCGCGGCUUCGGCCAAGGGUAUGUCUGCCUCAGCGUCGGUUUAUACCCUCGCUUCUCCACAACACCCGUUCCCCUCUCACUCGGAGAGCACGCGAGGAUGUGGCUUGGUCCGAACACUCGGACCUCAGAAGCGGAUCUGGCUUUCCCAAAGGUGCACUCGCAUCAUUGGGUUAGCUGAAACACAGAGGCGGGAGACGGACCCCUGGGUCUCAACUGGAUAGGUAGAACAGUCUUUUCAGGUUGACUACACGAAGUUGGGACUCCGAACUCCAGACCCUGCCUGCAGGAAUCGUGGCUUGUCCACGAAACUAAACAUUCGACCUGAGCUCAGGCAAGAUUACCCGCUGAACUUAAGCAUAUCACUAAGCGGAGGAAGAGAAACUAACAAGGAUGCGCUUAGUAACGGCGAGCGAACCGCGCAAAGCCCAGCUUGAAAAUCUCCCUUUGGAGAAUUGUAGUCUAUAGAAGUACCCUCUGCAGCGAGCGGGGCCCAAGUCCUCUGGAAAGGGGCGUCAGAGAGGGUGAGAACCCCGUCGGCCCUCGCUUUGCUGCCUCACGAGGUGCUUUCGCAGAGUCGGGUUGCUUGGGAAUGCAGCCCUAAUUUGGUGGUAAAUCCCAUCUAAGGCUAAAUACUGGCGAGAGACCGAUAGCGAACAAGUACCGUGAGGGAAAGAUGAAAAGAACUUUGAAAAGAGAGUUAAAAAGUGCUUGAAAUUGUUGAGGGGAAGCGAUUGGAGGCUAUGGGUGCGCCUAGGCUUAUGCGUCCUUAACGGGCCGCUGUAUGUGCUAGGUGCUGGUCAGCAAGGGUUGGAUCGGUAGGAUAACAGCUGGGGUUGAUACCCAGCCUAUGCUACCGGCCCGACCAAGGUGUGAAGGCUGCUCUAGUCCCUCGGGAUCUGCAGCCUCAAGUUGCUGGCGUAAGGUUUCCAAUCGACCCGUCUUGAAACACGGACCAAGGAGUCUAACAUGUAUGCGAGUUGGUGGGUGGAAAACCCAUGAAGCGCAAGGAAACUGACUGGUGGGAUGGCCUGUGCCUGCACCAUCGACCGACCAUGAGCUUCUGCGAAAGGUUUGAGUGCGAGCAUACCUGUUGGGACCCGAAAGAUGGUGAACUAUGCCUGAGCAGGGCGAAGCCAGAGGAAACUCUGGUGGAGGCUCGUAGAUGUGCUGACGUGCAAAUCGCUUUUCGGACUUGGGUAUAGGGGCGAAAGACUAAUCGAACCAUCUAGUAGCUGGUUCCCUC
Molecule: unclassified non-coding RNA, 1668 nt
Filed under: uncultured fungus
Lineage: Eukaryota; Fungi
Description: sequence contains 18S rRNA gene, ITS1, 5.8S rRNA gene, ITS2, 28S rRNA gene
Rfam family: Eukaryotic large subunit ribosomal RNA (bases 743-1668)
Source: RNAcentral